CCAGGAAAGAAACUUUCCUUUAUUUUAAAAGAUAGAGAGAGAGUAUGGUGUCAUAAUAUCUUUAACACGACGAAAAAAUUCGCAAUAGUGUUUUUCAGUCCAUGUCCAAUAAACAAUCUGAAGGACAGGAAGGAUGUGGAAGAAGAAAAGUGGCCCCUGCAUAUUUUUUUUUUUAUAAAAUUUUUUGUUUUCUUUUUUAUCUUUUUUUUUAUAAAAUUUUUUUUAACGCUCCCGGCCUCGCGCAGAAGUGCGAGCAAGAAAGAGGGAUCCUCGGGAGCAGGCCCUGAAGCGCUCGAGAAGUGGCGAUGUAACUUUUGCCCCGACGUGGGAUUCGCCGAUCGGCCAUGGUCUAGAAGAGGGGUCUUAUACGGAUUCUAUACAUAUAGGUACAUACAUACAUUUUUCAUGAAUUAAAUAAUUAUAUUUUAUUGGUAGUG
This is a long non-coding RNA of Leptopilina boulardi, 437 nucleotides long. RefSeq lists it as uncharacterized. Lineage: Eukaryota; Metazoa; Arthropoda; Insecta; Hymenoptera; Figitidae. The record is from RefSeq and is a predicted model, not a curated record. The transcript has 3 exons.